This 630-nucleotide long non-coding RNA is filed under the name Vigna radiata. RNAcentral describes it as "long non-coding RNA (VRAD_LNC015570)". Lineage: Eukaryota; Viridiplantae; Streptophyta; Magnoliopsida; Fabales; Fabaceae. The record is from RNAcentral.
UAAUUGGUGUUCAAUUUAGUCUUUUUUAUAAACUCCGCUUAAAUAGUUAACGACAAGAUGUCCAAAUGUGCAAUUAGAGAGUGAACUGUCAUGUAUGCUCUGACGUGGACUAGAUCAGUUAUCACCAUAGGGACCACAUUUGGAAAUAAUUAACAAAAAGGGGGACUAGAUUGAACAACUUUCAUUCAUUAAUAAACAAAGAGGCACAUCACCAUCUUCUUCAACCUUCAACCCAACCAAAAAUCGAAACCCUACUUUCUUUCUAGCCACCUAACUUUAGUGUCGUCACACCUAAACCCUCAGGCCGCCACCGCAAUUAUAGCCCCAGAGACUCCAAAACUUUCAUACAAAGUGACCAAAAUCACAUUCACACACCCUUUUUUAUCAAAACCCUGUCAACAGUUUCAAUCACAGCAUCAACAACUCUAACUUUACAAUUGAAGAGAACCAACAAGGAAAAAGAGGAAACUUGGACAUUGUUCACGGACUUGGGUUAGUAAAAACUUUAACUUGUUGGGAGAAAUAAAGAAGAACCCAUUAAUUGCAACAAGAAGAAGAAGAAUGAGAAGCAAACAUGGCUCAUUAACCAACAAGGCUGGGAAGAAGAUUGGGAAGAUGAUUGCUUAACCU